GCCAGGUGUGAAUACAAGUUUACAAAUUUAGUUUGAUUUUUUGAAAUAAAAAAUUACCUUUCUUAAUGUUUAAAUUUGAAGCUCAAAUUAAGGUUAUUUACUUCAUAUCACUUGAGUUGUGAGAUUAGAGGCGUGGUUGUUGUGUAGUUCUUUAAACAUGAAAUCACUAUUGUUGGAAGAAACACAAAAAGGUUGAAAUAUAUGUGGAAUAUAUUCUUAGUAAGGCUCAAGUAAUUAACUUCAUUGUUGUUGGUGCGAUGGACGAAGUCAUGGAUAAAGAGGCAGAGACAGAACACGUAGAGUCCAUGGAGGAAGAAGUUAAUGUGGCUGAGAAAGAUGUUAACAUGGUUGAGGAAGAGCCCAAUGUGGUUGAGGAAGAGGGUAUCGUAGCUAAGAAGGAAAAAGAAAGGUCAACUAAAGAUAAAGUGGAUGAUAUUAAAUAAGAAAAAAUGGAAAAUGAUGAUGGGGGGUUUGGGAUGGACAAUGAGACAAUGGUACAUGGUGGUACAUGAUCUUAAAAAUAUUAAUCUUGUGUAUUGGAUAUAAGUGAAGUAGAAUGAAGAAAAGAAGAAGAAAACAAUGAAAACAAAAUUGUAUUUAAUUGAAUGUUUGUAGUGACCACUUGCACGAUACAUUGUAUUUUAUUGAUUUUAAUGCUAAGGCAGAAUGGUAUCCCUACUACUUAUUCAUAAAAUCGUGUGUAAUUGAAUGUUGUUUUACCACUUGUUAUAAGUGUAUAGGUUGAAUGUUAU
RNAcentral lists this long non-coding RNA (752 nucleotides) under Vigna radiata. RNAcentral's name for it is "long non-coding RNA (VRAD_LNC010432)". The record is from RNAcentral. Lineage: Eukaryota; Viridiplantae; Streptophyta; Magnoliopsida; Fabales; Fabaceae.